RNAcentral lists this transfer RNA (64 nucleotides) under Engaeus lyelli. RNAcentral describes it as "tRNA-Cys". Lineage: Eukaryota; Metazoa; Arthropoda; Malacostraca; Decapoda; Parastacidae. The record is from RNAcentral.
GCUUUAUAGUGGAAAAAAGACGUCAAAUUGCAAAUUUGAAGAUGUAUAAGAUUACUAAAGCUUA